GAUGAACGCUGGCGGCGUGCCUAAUACAUGCAAGUCGAGCGAACAGACGAGGAGCUUGCUCCUCUGACGUUAGCGGCGGACGGGUGAGUAACACGUGGAUAACCUACCUAUAAGACUGGGAUAACUUCGGGAAACCGGAGCUAAUACCGGAUAAUAUAUUGAACCUCAUGGUUCAAUAGUGAAAGACGGUUUUGCUGUCACUUAUAGAUGGAUCCGCGCCGCAUUAGCUAGUUGGUAAGGUAACGGCUUACCAAGGCGACGAUGCGUAGCCGACCUGAGAGGGUGAUCGGCCACACUGGAACUGAGACACGGUCCAGACUCCUACGGGAGGCAGCAGUAGGGAAUCUUACGCAAUGGGCGAAAGCCUGACGGAGCAACGCCGCGUGAGUGAUGAAGGUCUUCGGAUCGUAAAACUCUGUUAUUAGGGAAGAACAAAUGUGUAAGUAACUAUGCACGUCUUGACGGUACCUAAUCAGAAAGCCACGGCUAACUACGUG
This 497-nucleotide ribosomal RNA is filed under the name uncultured bacterium. RNAcentral describes it as "partial 16S ribosomal RNA". It matches the Rfam family "Bacterial small subunit ribosomal RNA", at positions 28 to 507 of the family's 1533-position model. The record is from RNAcentral.